This 548-nucleotide ribosomal RNA is filed under the name Wolbachia endosymbiont of Varroa destructor. RNAcentral's name for it is "bacterial SSU rRNA". It matches the Rfam family "Bacterial small subunit ribosomal RNA", at positions 125 to 707 of the family's 1533-position model. Lineage: Bacteria; Pseudomonadati; Pseudomonadota; Alphaproteobacteria; Rickettsiales; Anaplasmataceae. The record is from RNAcentral.
UCUACCUAGUAGUAUGGAAUAAUUGUUGGAAACGGCAACUAAUACCGUAUACGCCCUACGGGGGAAAAAUUUAUUGCUAUUGGAUGAGCCUAUAUUAGAUUAGCUAGUUGGUGGAGUAAUAGCCUACCAAGGCAAUGAUCUAUAGCUGAUCUGAGAGGAUGAUCAGCCACACUGGAACUGAGAUACGGUCCAGACUCCUACGGGAGGCAGCAGUGGGGAAUAUUGGACAAUGGGCGAAAGCCUGAUCCAGCCAUGCCGCAUGAGUGAAGAAGGCCUUUGGGUUGUAAAGCUCUUUUAGUGAGGAAGAUAAUGACGGUACUCACAGAAGAAGUCCUGGCUAACUCCGUGCCAGCAGCCGCGGUAAUACGGAGAGGGCUAGCGUUAUUCGGAAUUAUUGGGCGUAAAGGGCGCGUAGGCUGGUUAAUAAGUUAAAAGUGAAAUCCCGAGGCUUAACCUUGGAAUUGCUUUUAAAACUAUUAAUCUAGAGAUUGAAAGAGGAUAGAGGAAUUCCUGAUGUAGAGGUAAAAUUCGUAAAUAUUAGGAGGAAC